AGAGUUUGAUCAUGGCUCAGAUUGAACGCUGGCGGCAGGCCUAACACAUGCAAGUCGAGCGGUAGCACAGAGAGCUUGCUCUCAGGUGACGAGCGGCGGACGGGUGAGUAAUGUCUGGGAAACUGCCUGAUGGAGGGGGAUAACUACUGGAAACGGUAGCUAAUACCGCAUAACGUCGCAAGACCAAAGUGGGGGACCUUCGGGCCUCAUGCCAUCAGAUGUGCCCAGAUGGGAUUAGCUAGUAGGUGGGGUAAUGGCUCACCUAGGCGACGAUCCCUAGCUGGUCUGAGAGGAUGACCAGCCACACUGGAACUGAGACACGGUCCAGACUCCUACGGGAGGCAGCAGUGGGGAAUAUUGCACAAUGGGCGCAAGCCUGAUGCAGCCAUGCCGCGUGUAUGAAGAAGGCCUUCGGGUUGUAAAGUACUUUCAGCGAGGAGGAAGGCGUUAAGGUUAAUAACCUUGGCGAUUGACGUUACUCGCAGAAGAAGCACCGGCUAACUCCGUGCCAGCAGCCGCGGUAAUACGGAGGGUGCAAGCGUUAAUCGGAAUUACUGGGCGUAAAGCGCACGCAGGCGGUCUGUCAAGUCGGAUGUGAAAUCCCCGGGCUCAACCUGGGAACUGCAUUCGAAACUGGCAGGCUAGAGUCUUGUAGAGGGGGGUAGAAUUCCAGGUGUAGCGGUGAAAUGCGUAGAGAUCUGGAGGAAUACCGGUGGCGAAGGCGGCCCCCUGGACAAAGACUGACGCUCAGGUGCGAAAGCGUGGGGAGCAAACAGGAUUAGAUACCCUGGUAGUCCACGCCGUAAACGAUGUCGACUUGGAGGUUGUGCCCUUGAGGCGUGGCUUCCGGAGCUAACGCGUUAAGUCGACCGCCUGGGGAGUACGGCCGCAAGGUUAAAACUCAAAUGAAUUGACGGGGGCCCGCACAAGCGGUGGAGCAUGUGGUUUAAUUCGAUGCAACGCGAAGAACCUUACCUACUCUUGACAUCCAGAGAACUUAGCAGAGAUGCUUUGGUGCCUUCGGGAACUCUGAGACAGGUGCUGCAUGGCUGUCGUCAGCUCGUGUUGUGAAAUGUUGGGUUAAGUCCCGCAACGAGCGCAACCCUUAUCCUUUGUUGCCAGCGGUCCGGCCGGGAACUCAAAGGAGACUGCCAGUGAUAAACUGGAGGAAGGUGGGGAUGACGUCAAGUCAUCAUGGCCCUUACGAGUAGGGCUACACACGUGCUACAAUGGCAUAUACAAAGAGAAGCGACCUCGCGAGAGCAAGCGGACCUCAUAAAGUAUGUCGUAGUCCGGAUUGGAGUCUGCAACUCGACUCCAUGAAGUCGGAAUCGCUAGUAAUCGUAGAUCAGAAUGCUACGGUGAAUACGUUCCCGGGCCUUGUACACACCGCCCGUCACACCAUGGGAGUGGGUUGCAAAAGAAGUAGGUAGCUUAACCUUCGGGAGGGCGCUUACCACUUUGUGAUUCAUGACUGGGGUGAAGUCGUAACAAGGUAACCGUAGGGGAACCUGCGGUUGGAUCACCU
RNAcentral lists this ribosomal RNA (1528 nucleotides) under Klebsiella aerogenes. RNAcentral's name for it is "bacterial SSU rRNA". It matches the Rfam family "Bacterial small subunit ribosomal RNA". The record is from RNAcentral. Lineage: Bacteria; Pseudomonadati; Pseudomonadota; Gammaproteobacteria; Enterobacterales; Enterobacteriaceae.